Molecule: long non-coding RNA, 236 nt
Filed under: Durio zibethinus
Lineage: Eukaryota; Viridiplantae; Streptophyta; Magnoliopsida; Malvales; Malvaceae
Description: long non-coding RNA (DZIB_LNC000457)
Source: RNAcentral
UUAUGGCAUGCAAAUUGUAGACUACGAUAGGAAAUUGGGAAAUUGAAUUGGCACAAUUUCAUUAAUACUAAUUCAAAAAUCAGAAUUCAAAGAGCUAAGACUUCAAAUUCACAAAAGUAGAAACGACAAAUUUAAAGUACUGUAUCAGUCAAGAAGGACAAAGGCUACAAAACCUUGAAAGUCAAAAACACAUGUUUAAGGAGAUUAUGUGAAGGAAAAGUCUUCGUUCUUACUGG